RNAcentral lists this ribosomal RNA (460 nucleotides) under uncultured bacterium. RNAcentral describes it as "partial 16S ribosomal RNA". It matches the Rfam family "Bacterial small subunit ribosomal RNA", at positions 338 to 795 of the family's 1533-position model. The record is from RNAcentral.
CCUACGGGUGGCAGCAGUGAGGAAUAUUGGUCAAUGGGCUUACGCCUGAACCAGCCAAGUCGCGUGAGGGAAGACUGCCCUAUGGGUUGUAAACCUCUUUUGUCAGGGAGCAACGCCGGCUACGUGUAGCCGGACUGAGAGUACCUGCAGAAAAAGCAUCGGCUAACUCCGUGCCAGCAGCCGCGGUAAUACUGAGGAUGCGAGCGUUAUCCGGAUUGAUUGGGGUUAAAGGGUGCGUAGGAGGAAUGCCAAGUCAGCGGUAAAAUCGCGGGGCUCAACCUCGCUCCGCCGUUGAAACUGGCGUACUGGAGUGGGCGAGAAGUAUGCGGAAUGCGUGGUGUAGCGGUGAAAUGCAUAGAUAUCACGCAGAACUCCGGUUGCGAAGGCAGCAUACCGGCGCCCAACUGACGCUGAAGAACGAAAGCGUGGGUAGCGAACAGGAUUAGAUACCCUAGUAGUC